This is a long non-coding RNA of Gavialis gangeticus (Gharial), 628 nucleotides long. RefSeq lists it as uncharacterized. The transcript has 2 exons. The record is from RefSeq and is a predicted model, not a curated record. NCBI's taxonomy places the organism in Eukaryota, Metazoa, Chordata, Crocodylia, Gavialidae.
CCAACUUUAGUGGAACGACCCCAAGUUGAGAAAACCAGAAGAAACAACCUCUUAUUAAAGACUGAGCAUGGAACAACCCCAGUGCUGAACAAGGCCUUGAAACCCCUAAAAAAGUGAGAGGCAGACAAGCCAUGAUGGGGAAUUCACUCUCUUCAACUUCAUGGAGCACAGGCAUGCAUGCCUGUAUUACCCCGCUCAUAUCCUCAAUAAGCCUGGACCCGGCCAUCCAGUGCUAAUACUGAGUAACAUUUGCUGGCACAAUCCUGCACUGCUAAAGCUUGCCAAUCAUUGAAUUAAGCAAAGGGCAAAUAUGGGCUCUCCAGUAGAAUCACUUUUGGGAGAAACUGCUAAACUUUCUCCAGACUCAGGAGGACUAUGCAUAUCUGCAAGAUAAAAUAUGAACUUUAUUUUAACAUUAUUUUUACCCUGCACUUCACAGACAUAGAGCAUAAUCAACUAACUGUGUGGAAGAAGAGUUUUGCCUUAAGAAACAAAAUCUGUUUUAUAUGCAAAAAUGUGUCCCAUUUACAUCAAUGGAAAAUUUUCUUGCAUAGAGAAUAUAGAAUUAGGCCUUCUGCAAGGUAUGUCAUUAGGCAAAGUAAUGAUUAAAGCCAAACUAGUGAAUGUA